CCUACGGGAGACAGCAGUGAGGAAUAUUGGUCAAUGGGCGCGAGCCUGAACCAGCCAAGUAGCGUGAAGGAUGACUGCCCUACGGGUUGUAAACUUCUUUUAUAAAGGAAUAAAGUGAGGCACGUGUGCCUUUUUGUAUGUACCUUAUGAAUAAGGAUCGGCUAACUCCGUGCCAGCAGCCGCGGUAAUACGGAGGAUCCGAGCGUUAUCCGGAUUUAGUGGGUUUAAAGGGGACGUAGAUGGGUUGUUAAGUCAGCUGUGAAAGUUUGCGGCUCAACCGUAAAAUUGCAAUUGAUACUGGCAGCCUUGAGUACGGGUGAGGUAGGCGGAAUGCGUGGUGUAGCGGUGAAAUGCUUAGAUAUCACGAAGAACUCCGAUUGCGAAGGCAGCUUACUAAACUGCAACUGACGUUGAUGCUCGAAAGUGUGGGUAUCAAACAGGAUUAGAUACCCGAGUAGUC
Molecule: ribosomal RNA, 460 nt
Filed under: uncultured bacterium
Lineage: Bacteria
Description: partial 16S ribosomal RNA
Rfam family: Bacterial small subunit ribosomal RNA
Source: RNAcentral